UGAGGUUAAGCGACUAAGCGUACACGGUGGAUGCCCUGGCAGUCAGAGGCGAUGAAGGACGUGCUAAUCUGCGAAAAGCGCCGGCGAGGUGAUAUGAACCUUUGACCCGGCGAUGUCCGAAUGGGGAAACCCAGUGUGUUCCGACACACUAUCGUUAACUGAAUACAUAGGUUAACGAGGCGAACCGGGGGAACUGAAACAUCUAAGUACCCCGAGGAAAAGAAAUCAACCGAGAUUCCCCCAGUAGCGGCGAGCGAACGGGGAGCAGCCCAGAGUCUGAAUCAGCUUGUGUGUUAGUGGAAGCGUCUGGAAAGUCGCACGGUACAGGGUGACAGUCCCGUACACGAAAGCACACAGGUUGUGAACUCGAAGAGUAGGGCGGGACACGUGGUAUCCUGUCUGAAUAUGGGGGGACCAUCCUCCAAGGCUAAAUACUCCUGACUGACCGAUAGUGAACCAGUACCGUGAGGGAAAGGCGAAAAGAACCCCGGCGAGGGGAGUGAAAAAGAACCUGAAACCGUGUACGUACAAGCAGUGGGAGCCUCUUUAUGGGGUGACUGCGUACCUUUUGUAUAAUGGGUCAGCGACUUAUAUUCUGUAGCAAGGUUAACCGUAUAGGGGAGCCGAAGGGAAACCGAGUCUUAACUGGGCGUUAAGUUGCAGGGUAUAGACCCGAAACCCGGUGAUCUAGCCAUGGGCAGGUUGAAGGUUGGGUAACACUAACUGGAGGACCGAACCGACUAAUGUUGAAAAAUUAGCGGAUGACUUGUGGCUGGGGGUGAAAGGCCAAUCAAACCGGGAGAUAGCUGGUUCUCCCCGAAAGCUAUUUAGGUAGCGCCUCGUGAACUCAUCUUCGGGGGUAGAGCACUGUUUCGGCUAGGGGGCCAUCCCGGCUUACCAACCCGAUGCAAACUACGAAUACCGAAGAAUGUUAUCACGGGAGACACACGGCGGGUGCUAACGUCCGUCGUGAAGAGGGAAACAACCCAGACCGCCAGCUAAGGUCCCAAAGUCAUGGUUAAGUGGGAAACGAUGUGGGAAGGCACAGACAGCCAGGAUGUUGGCUUAGAAGCAGCCAUCAUUUAAAGAAAGCGUAAUAGCUCACUGGUCGAGUCGGCCUGCGCGGAAGAUGUAACGGGGCUAAACCAUGCACCGAAGCUGCGGCAGCGACACUAUGUGUUGUUGGGUAGGGGAGCGUUCUGUAAGCCGUUGAAGGUGUCCUGUGAGGGGUGCUGGAGGUAUCAGAAGUGCGAAUGCUGACAUAAGUAACGAUAAAGCGGGUGAAAAGCCCGCUCGCCGGAAGACCAAGGGUUCCUGUCCAACGUUAAUCGGGGCAGGGUGAGUCGACCCCUAAGGCGAGGCCGAAAGGCGUAGUCGAUGGGAAACAGGUUAAUAUUCCUGUACUUGGUGUUACUGCGAAGGGGGGACGGAGAAGGCUAUGUUAGCCGGGCGACGGUUGUCCCGGUUUAAGCAUGUAGGCGGAGGUUCCAGGUAAAUCCGGUUCCUUGUUAACGCUGAGGUGUGAUGACGAGGCACUACGGUGCUGAAGUAACAAAUGCCCUGCUUCCAGGAAAAGCCUCUAAGCAUCAGGUAACAUCAAAUCGUACCCCAAACCGACACAGGUGGUCAGGUAGAGAAUACCAAGGCGCUUGAGAGAACUCGGGUGAAGGAACUAGGCAAAAUGGUGCCGUAACUUCGGGAGAAGGCACGCUGAUAUGUAGGUGAAGCCCCUGCGGGUGGAGCUGAAAUCAGUCGAAGAUACCAGCUGGCUGCAACUGUUUAUUAAAAACACAGCACUGUGCAAACACGAAAGUGGACGUAUACGGUGUGACGCCUGCCCGGUGCCGGAAGGUUAAUUGAUGGGGUUAGCGGCAACGCGAAGCUCUUGAUCGAAGCCCCGGUAAACGGCGGCCGUAACUAUAACGGUCCUAAGGUAGCGAAAUUCCUUGUCGGGUAAGUUCCGACCUGCACGAAUGGCGUAAUGAUGGCCAGGCUGUCUCCACCCGAGACUCAGUGAAAUUGAACUCGCUGUGAAGAUGCAGUGUACCCGCGGCAAGACGGAAAGACCCCGUGAACCUUUACUAUAGCUUGACACUGAACACUGGUCCUUGAUGUGUAGGAUAGGUGGGAGGCUUUGAAGCGUGGACGCCAGUCUGCGUGGAGCCAACCUUGAAAUACCACCCUUUAAUGGCUGGUGUUCUAACGUAGACCCGUGAUCCGGGUUGCGGACAGUGUCUGGUGGGUAGUUUGACUGGGGCGGUCUCCUCCCAAAGAGUAACGGAGGAGCACGAAGGUUAGCUAAUCCUGGUCGGACAUCAGGAGGUUAGUGCAAUGGCAUAAGCUAGCUUGACUGCGAGAGUGACGGCUCGAGCAGGUGCGAAAGCAGGUCAUAGUGAUCCGGUGGUUCUGAAUGGAAGGGCCAUCGCUCAACGGAUAAAAGGUACUCCGGGGAUAACAGGCUGAUACCGCCCAAGAGUUCAUAUCGACGGCGGUGUUUGGCACCUCGAUGUCGGCUCAUCACAUCCUGGGGCUGAAGUAGGUCCCAAGGGUAUGGCUGUUCGCCAUUUAAAGUGGUACGCGAGCUGGGUUUAGAACGUCGUGAGACAGUUCGGUCCCUAUCUGCCGUGGGCGCUGGAGAAUUGAGGGGGGCUGCUCCUAGUACGAGAGGACCGGAGUGGACGCAUCACUGGUGUUCGGGUUGUCAUGCCAAUGGCACUGCCCGGUAGCUAAAUGCGGAAGAGAUAAGUGCUGAAAGCAUCUAAGCACGAAACUUGCCCCGAGAUGAGUUCUCCCUGAGACUUUAAGUCUCCUGAAGGAACGUUGAAGACUACGACGUUGAUAGGUCGGGUGUGUAAGCGCAGCGAUGCGUUGAGCUAACCGAUACUAAUGAACCGUGAGGCUUAACCUU
This 2908-nucleotide ribosomal RNA is filed under the name Enterobacter cloacae. RNAcentral describes it as "bacterial LSU rRNA". It matches the Rfam family "Bacterial large subunit ribosomal RNA". The record is from RNAcentral. Lineage: Bacteria; Pseudomonadati; Pseudomonadota; Gammaproteobacteria; Enterobacterales; Enterobacteriaceae.